This 458-nucleotide ribosomal RNA is filed under the name activated sludge bacterium KA22. RNAcentral describes it as "bacterial SSU rRNA". It matches the Rfam family "Bacterial small subunit ribosomal RNA", at positions 56 to 512 of the family's 1533-position model. The record is from RNAcentral.
UGCAGUCGAACGGUAACAGGUCUUCGGAUGCUGACGAGUGGCGAACGGGUGAGUAAUACAUCGGAACGUGCCCGAGAGUGGGGGAUAACGGAGCGAAAGCUUUGCUAAUACCGCAUACGAUCUCAGGAUGAAAGCAGGGGACCGCAAGGCCUUGCGCUCACGGAGCGGCCGAUGGCAGAUUAGGUAGUUGGUGGGAUAAAAGCUUACCAAGCCGACGAUCUGUAGCUGGUCUGAGAGGACGACCAGCCACACUGGGACUGAGACACGGCCCAGACUCCUACGGGAGGCAGCAGUGGGGAAUUUUGGACAAUGGGCGCAAGCCUGAUCCAGCCAUGCCGCGUGCAGGAUGAAGGCCUUCGGGUUGUAAACUGCUUUUGUACGGAACGAAAAGACUCUGGUUAAUACCUGGGGUCCAUGACGGUACCGUAAGAAUAAGCACCGGCUAACUACGUGCCAGC